UACAGAGGGCCCGAGCGUUGUUCGGAUUCACUGGGCGUAAAGGGUGCGUAGGCGGUUCUGCAAGUCUGAUGUGAAAUCUCCGGGCCCAACCCGGAAAUGGCAUUAGAAACUGCAGGGCUAGAGGCUUGGAGGGGGAACUGGAAUGCUCGGUGUAGCAGUGAAAUGCGUAGAGAUCGAGCGGAACACCAGUGGCGAAGGCGAGUUCCUGGACAAGACCUGACGCUGAGGCACGAAAGCCAGGGGAGCAAACAGG
This 253-nucleotide ribosomal RNA is filed under the name uncultured bacterium. RNAcentral's name for it is "partial 16S ribosomal RNA". It matches the Rfam family "Bacterial small subunit ribosomal RNA", at positions 524 to 776 of the family's 1533-position model. The record is from RNAcentral.